UUCUAAAAAGACAUUUGUGCCCCUUCCUUU
Molecule: non-coding RNA, 30 nt
Filed under: Mus musculus (house mouse)
Lineage: Eukaryota; Metazoa; Chordata; Mammalia; Rodentia; Muridae
Source: RNAcentral